UUCUUCGUGGUGUAGUGGUCAGCACGCUCGAUGCGUAACCGAGAGGUCCGUAGUUCGAUUCCCGGCGAGGGCA
RNAcentral lists this transfer RNA (73 nucleotides) under Stegodyphus mimosarum. It matches the Rfam family "tRNA". Rfam says of the family: Transfer RNA (tRNA) molecules are approximately 80 nucleotides in length. Their secondary structure includes four short double-helical elements and three loops (D, anti-codon, and T loops). Lineage: Eukaryota; Metazoa; Arthropoda; Arachnida; Araneae; Eresidae. The record is from Rfam by way of RNAcentral.